GUGAAUCAUCAAAUUUUUGAACGCAUAUUGCACUCUCUGGUAUUCCGGAGAGUAUGCCUGGUUGAGGGUCAAAUAAAAUCAUAUAAAUUCCAAGAUUUCUUGGAAUUUAAAAUGGGUUGUCCAUUUUUUGUGGUCGCCUAAAAUCCAAGACAAGCUCAUUUUCUUGGGUUGCGUGAUACUUUUGGGUACUUCUUGACUUAACCAGUAAUCAUCGGGAUUGUUAUUAAUUGUG
RNAcentral lists this unclassified non-coding RNA (232 nucleotides) under Ambisporaceae sp. RNAcentral's name for it is "partial contains 5.8S ribosomal RNA and internal transcribed spacer 2". The stretch from base 1 to 71 matches the Rfam family "5.8S ribosomal RNA", at positions 84 to 154 of the family's 154-position model. The record is from RNAcentral. Lineage: Eukaryota; Fungi; Glomeromycota; Glomeromycetes; Archaeosporales; Ambisporaceae.